This 253-nucleotide ribosomal RNA is filed under the name uncultured bacterium. Its description in RNAcentral is "partial 16S ribosomal RNA". It matches the Rfam family "Bacterial small subunit ribosomal RNA", at positions 524 to 776 of the family's 1533-position model. The record is from RNAcentral.
UACGUAGGGUGCAAGCGCUGAUCGGAAUUACUGGGCGUAAAGCGUACGCAGGCGGUUAUAUAAGACAGAUGUGAAAUCCCCGGGCUCAACCUGGGAACUGCAUUUGUGACUGUAUAGCUAGAGUACGGCAGAGGGGGAUGGAAUUCCGCGUGUAGCAGUGAAAUGCGUAGAUAUGCGGAGGAACACCGAUGGCGAAGGCAAUCCCCUGGGCCUGUACUGACGCUCAUGCACGAAAGCGUGGGGAGCAAACAGG